This is a long non-coding RNA of Oxyura jamaicensis (ruddy duck), 177 nucleotides long. RefSeq lists it as uncharacterized. The record is from RefSeq and is a predicted model, not a curated record. NCBI's taxonomy places the organism in Eukaryota, Metazoa, Chordata, Aves, Anseriformes, Anatidae. The transcript is spliced from 4 exons.
GGAGGGGAAAAAAGGGCAAGAAGUAGAGAAGAAGCUUGCAAAUGGUGGCUCAGCCUUGAUGAGCUCAGAGGGUGCUGGUCUGUGUGCCAGGUGCUGGGCUGGGGAAUGGGACAGCCACGCAGGGACAGAUGCUGAGCCCUCGGUGAUGGAUGCAGGUCUGAGCUGGGAGAAAUGGGG